Molossus molossus (Pallas's mastiff bat) is the source of this 236-nucleotide long non-coding RNA. RefSeq lists it as uncharacterized. NCBI's taxonomy places the organism in Eukaryota, Metazoa, Chordata, Mammalia, Chiroptera, Molossidae. The transcript has 3 exons. The record is from RefSeq and is a predicted model, not a curated record.
CUGAAAUCUUGUCACUCUUACAAGUUGUGGCCCAUGUUCUGAAUAGAACAGGGGGAUCCUGAGAAGCCACUUGAGACAGAGCCAAGAGUUACCUCCUAUCUGCCACCACCUUCUCCCAACUCUCACGGAAACUUGUUGCCCUGCUCUGUGAUGCUCCCUCCCACUGAAAAUUUUCCAGUUCAAGCACUGCUUCAUUCUUCUGGAAAUAUUGACCAACGCUCCUUUUUUCCCAGCAG